AUGUUGCUUCCAGCGAGUGCAGGCAUAGAUUUCUCCAUCAUCAUUCUUCCCAUCGGCAUGGUGGACGCUUGCUUUUCCAUCAUCAUUUUUUCGAGAGACAUGCCCUCCAUGUUUUUGUUGCUAUCCAUCAUCAUUGACAUAUCCUUCUCCAUCGACAUAUCCUGCAUAGACUUGCCCAUCAUCAUUGGCAUGUCCUUCUCCAUGGGCAUCUGUGACAUAGAUUUGUCCAUCAGCAUACUAAGCAUAUCCUGCUGCAUUGGCAUCUGUGGCAUAGACUUGCCCAUCAUGGGCAUUUCGGACAUAGAUUUCUCCAUCAUCAUUGGCAUACCCUUCUCCAUAGACAUCUGUGGCAUAGACUUGCCCAUCAUCAUUGACAUGUCCUUCUCCAUGGGCAUUUCGGACAUAGAUUUGUCCAUCAUCGUUGGCAUGCCCUUCUCCAUUGACAUCUGUGGCAUGGACUUACUCAUCAUCAUGGGCAUACCCUUCUCCAUGGACAUCAUUGGCAUCCCAGACAUAGAUUUGUCCAUCAUCAUAAUUUUUCCUGACAUCAAGGCCAUGGGCAUUGAUUUCAUGAUGGCGGGGGCAGGCAUUGCGAUUGAUGAUGACAUCAUUGUGGUAACUGAAGGAAGGUAGCUGUAAGUUGUCGUGUAAGGCAUCACCGGGCUGAGAGGUGUCAUCGAGGGUAACAACAUGGUUGGCAUGGCAGGCAUUGAGGUCAUUGCAGGCAUGGCGGGCAUCAUCAUCAUUGAGCGAGUUAUCACUGGUGUGGGGCUCAGGAGCAUAGGUGCAGCGAGUGGAAGAAUAUUUUUCUUCGUCCGGCUAGCUUCUUCAGCAGCCAUUAUGGACGAAGAGAAUAGUAAAACUAAAGGAACCUGUAACAGAAAACGCGCAUUUUUUUUCAGAGACUUCUUCUUCUUUCGACUUAAAAAUGAGAAAAAAAAUUAACUCAAAUAACUUGCAAUGACAUAUUUAUAAUAAUAAUAAAAUUUAAAAAAAUUAAAAUUUACGAACAUCUUCUACUAAAAGUCUCAGUAAUGCAUGCCAUGUAAUAUAGGUUGAACUCAAAUGCCCCACCAAUGCUCUUAACUUUUAAACAAAUAAAGGAAGACAGAGGAAAAUUUUUCAGUGUUCCUUUCUGAUGGGGAAACUAGAUAGGAAAGAUAGAAAAAAACUACUUUAUGAGAUUAUGGGGCGUCAAAAAUUAAAUUGAAUUGGGGUACUUUUGAAGAAAAACACAAUUUUCAAAAAACCUCGGUAAGAUGGUACAUUGUUGGACAGGGGGUAACCAAGAAACUAAUUAGCAAAAACUAGAGAUUUCUAUCUGAUCACCAAUUCAAAAUGGCGCCUCGCUGAAAAUGGAAAUCAAAGAACUUUGACUGGCCGGAAUUCUGAAGUGGUGAUGGCUAGAGACUUAAAUUUUUCGUUAAAAAUGUUAUUGUUUUAUACAUCCGUUAAUGGUGUAACACAAAGAAGGGACUACUAUUUGAAGAAAAGUUGGAGGCUACCGGGUCCCCUUGAGAGGGCUCAAAAUGAUUAAAUCCCACAAAAUUCAGUAUUUUUAAGAUAAGGGUAUUGCCGAAGUUUUAAUCCUCCAUCUUAAACCGUAUCAAAUCUAAAGGGGAAGGGAUGGGGAGCACUAAUUGUAGACCUUUACGAUGGUGUAGCCAGAAUUUUUUCAUACCACAAAACUAACGCAGAAUAUAAUAUUAUUCCAGAAUCUUGAUCUCAAUUCUUUAAUUAAUUUUAGUUCCAUGUCUUUUUUUUCUUUUCUAAAAGAUAGUUUUUCUCACGUUGGACCUCUCGCUAUAUUUUAUAAUGAAAUUCAUCUUAAACAAAUUAGAAUGGAGAGGUUUUAGGAAUUUUAUAACAACCCCACAACAGGGAGCAGAAAUGGACUACGGUUAACAAAAUUGAACAAAUUUUGAAAAUUAAGACGAAACUUUCACAAGAAAAAGGUACUUGGACACUUGGACAGCCUAUUCAGAAGGCCCAAAAAUAAAUAAAAAAAUGUUUUUGAAUAUUGUAAUGAAAAAGAUAACUUACCAAAAGUUUCAUUUUUGUGAGAUAACAAACUAAAUAAGAGAAGAAAAAUAAUCAGUACUAGAGGUGAUAGCUUAAACUCCUACGAACACAACUUAUUAACACUAAAAGAAUGAUUAGACUAAUUCGAUCGAAUUUGACCUUAUCCGUAUUUAUAUAGGUGGUAGAACUGUUUAAUCGAUUGCAUCAGAUUAAAUUCAAAAGGAGGGAAGGAUUAGGAAAAUGUGAUAGUCAACCAAAUAAUUCAAAGGGUGUGUUCAUAGUCGCGUUAAAAAACAUUAACAACAAGUGAGGGGUAAAGUAAAAACGGAGAGGGAAAAGUAAUUUUUUUUAGUUAAAUUAAACGAGAAUCCGCAUAAAGGAGCGUCAAUAAAUUUUUUUAACGGUGAUUUUCCUUUGUCCUCUUUCUCUUUACACCGCACAAGCAAACGAGCAGUGAAGGGGUUUAUUUUAGUUAAAUUUAUGAGCAAAAAGGGAAAUCAAGAGGAUCGAGAGAAGGGAAAAGAGAAAGAGGUAUCAUUGAUGAGGGGCGAUGCGUUGACAAAGUAUUUUUCGUAGAGGGAAAAGAAAAGCCGAAAAUUCUCGACGUGCGGAAAGCGAUGGAACAAAUAAGUAGAGGACGCUAUUAUGCAAAAGACGUCCUCUAUGUUUCCUCUUAGGCUUUAAAUAGCCAAGUAAUAAUUGGUCAUUGCGGCUCAGGUGGAUGCAAAUGCAGAUAAACCGUUUUUGCGUCCGACGCUGAACUGGCUGAUGAAACAAGAGUCAAACAUGUCGCGAGAAAAACAUCCAGAACUUUUUUGCGAACCGGUGAUGGAUUUUUAGCCGGAGCACAGUUGCACCGACAUAGUCUUAAUACACGUGUAUUGUGCGUGAUGUUACACAAGAAGUUUUUGUUUUCCAGCCCAGUCCAGGGUCUACAUUUUAGAAUGCAUGUGAAUUACUUACUUUCAUUUGAAUGGUUGAAUUAGGAGCGGUGAGGGAUUUUGAGAAAAAACGAAUUCCGGUUCUGCAUUCAGUGGAUUAGAGAAUGGGUCUAUUGCACACGAGAGAUACAGUUAUCUCUGUACAUAUUAAUGCAGGUAAGAUCGCACGAAAAUUACGUUACGAAAAUUGGAAAUUUCUAAAAUCCUUUGACGCAUAACUUGCGCAGUCCGCAUUGUAUUUUUUCAAAAUCUCUUCCGUGGGCAGUUUUUCUUGGUUUCUGGUCUGAGGCUAUCAGUUUUACCUAGAGACAAGACCUAACCGGAAAAAAAUCUAAUCUAAAUAAGAGAACACUUUUACGAAAUGUUUCUCGUGUAUGAUUUCAAUCGUUUCAAACGUUUGCUUGUUCCUUACCCCUUUGUUUCGUAAA
Molecule: long non-coding RNA, 3391 nt
Filed under: Bemisia tabaci
Lineage: Eukaryota; Metazoa; Arthropoda; Insecta; Hemiptera; Aleyrodidae
Description: lncRNA ENSSSA1UGG002304
Source: RNAcentral